RNAcentral lists this ribosomal RNA (373 nucleotides) under uncultured organism. Its description in RNAcentral is "partial 16S ribosomal RNA". It matches the Rfam family "Bacterial small subunit ribosomal RNA", at positions 527 to 896 of the family's 1533-position model. The record is from RNAcentral.
GUAGGUGGCAAGCGUUGUCCGGAAUUAUUGGGCGUAAAGCGCGCGCAGGCGGUUCUUUAAGUCUGAUGUGAAAGCCCACGGCUCAACCGUGGAGGGUCAUUGGAAACUGGAGAACUUGGGUACAGAAGAGGAAAGCGGAAUUCCACGUGUAGCGGUGAAAUGCGUAGAGAUGUGGAGGAACACCAGUGGCGAAGGCGGCUUUCCGGUCUGUAACUGACGCUGAGGCGCGAAAGCGUGGGGAGCAAACAGGGAUUAGAUACCCUGGUAGUCCACGCCGUAAACGAUGAGUGCUAAGUGUUAGGGGGUUUCCGCCCCCUUAGUGCUGCAGCUAACGCAUUAAGCACUCCGCCUGGGGAGUACGGCCGCAAGGCUG